CAGUCGCCGCGGUAAUACGAAGGGGGCUAGCGUUGUUCGGAAUCACUGGGCGUAAAGGGUGCGUAGGCGGGCGACUCAGUCAGGGGUGAAAUCCCGAGGCUCAACCUCGGAACUGCCUUUGAUACUGGUUGUCUUGAGUCCGGAAGAGGUGAGUGGAACUGCGAGUGUAGAGGUGAAAUUCGUAGAUAUUCGCAAGAACACCGGCGGCGAAGGCGGCUCACUGGUCCGGAACUGACGCUGAGGCACGACAGCGUGGGGAGCAAACAGGAUUAGAUACCCGCGUAGUCCCUGUCUCUUAUAC
RNAcentral lists this ribosomal RNA (301 nucleotides) under uncultured bacterium. RNAcentral's name for it is "partial 16S ribosomal RNA". It matches the Rfam family "Bacterial small subunit ribosomal RNA", at positions 509 to 807 of the family's 1533-position model. The record is from RNAcentral.